CUCCUUUCGUAGUUCAUAAGUGUGAUGAUUGGGUGUUCAUGACUGUGUGUGCGAUGUGCUUCCCUCUAAACCUUUUUGACAUGAAA
RNAcentral lists this small nucleolar RNA (86 nucleotides) under Chlorocebus sabaeus (green monkey). Its description in RNAcentral is "Small nucleolar RNA U13". It matches the Rfam family "Small nucleolar RNA U13". Lineage: Eukaryota; Metazoa; Chordata; Mammalia; Primates; Cercopithecidae. The record is from Rfam by way of RNAcentral.